CCUACGGGUGGCAGCAGUGGGGAAUAUUAGACAAUGGGCGAAAGCCUGAUCCAGCCAUGCCGCGUGUGUGAAGAAGGCCUUCGGGUUGUAAAGCACUUUCAGUGGGGAAGAAAGCCUUGGGGCUAAUACCCUCGAGGAAGGACAUCACCCACAGAAGAAGCACCGGCUAACUCCGUGCCAGCAGCCGCGGUAAUACGGAGGGUGCGAGCGUUAAUCGGAAUUACUGGGCGUAAAGCGCGCGUAGGCGGUCUGAUAAGCCGGUUGUGAAAGCCCCGGGCUCAACCUGGGAACGGCAUCCGGAACUGUCAGGCUAGAGUGCAGGAGAGGAAGGUAGAAUUCCCGGUGUAGCGGUGAAAUGCGUAGAGAUCGGGAGGAAUACCAGUGGCGAAGGCGGCCUUCUGGACUGACACUGACGCUGAGGUGCGAAAGCGUGGGUAGCAAACAGGAUUAGAUACCCUAGUAGUC
Molecule: ribosomal RNA, 465 nt
Filed under: Vreelandella stevensii
Lineage: Bacteria; Pseudomonadati; Pseudomonadota; Gammaproteobacteria; Oceanospirillales; Halomonadaceae
Description: partial 16S ribosomal RNA
Rfam family: Bacterial small subunit ribosomal RNA
Source: RNAcentral